RNAcentral lists this transfer RNA (75 nucleotides) under Fimbriimonas sp. RNAcentral describes it as "tRNA-Thr". It matches the Rfam family "tRNA". From Rfam's summary of the family: Transfer RNA (tRNA) molecules are approximately 80 nucleotides in length. RNAcentral also lists the same sequence under 4 other names. Lineage: Bacteria; Bacillati; Armatimonadota; Fimbriimonadia; Fimbriimonadales; Fimbriimonadaceae. The record is from RNAcentral.
GCCUCUGUAGCUCAGAGGUAGAGCACUUCUUUGGUAAAGAAGAGGUCACGGGUUCGAUUCUCGUCAGAGGCUCCA